This 234-nucleotide unclassified non-coding RNA is filed under the name Hevea brasiliensis (rubber tree). Lineage: Eukaryota; Viridiplantae; Streptophyta; Magnoliopsida; Malpighiales; Euphorbiaceae. The record is from RNAcentral.
AAAAAAAAAAAAAAAAAUCUGAUCAUGCAUUUAAUUUUCAAAUCUGAAUGCAAGAUGAACUUACUCAGGAAGCAUAUAAUAUGAUAGGAGAUAGAAGUCAGAUGACAUAAUUUCCUAUUAACCAAUGGAAAUUGUCAUUCUCUUUACCAGACACCAAAUAAAAACACAUUACAUAUAGAUGAUUAUUUCCUAAUGUCUAAUUCAGGCAGAACACAAACUAUAAUCUAUAGCAAA